This 1751-nucleotide long non-coding RNA is filed under the name Homo sapiens (human). RNAcentral describes it as "non-protein coding lnc-GNA14-1:1". The record is from RNAcentral. Lineage: Eukaryota; Metazoa; Chordata; Mammalia; Primates; Hominidae.
GAGACGGAGUCUCGCUGUGUCGCCCAGGCUGGAGCGCAGUGGCACGAUCUCAGCUCACUGCAACCUCCGCCUCCUGGGAUCAAGUGAUUCUCCUGCCUCAGCCUCCUGAGUAGCUGGGAUUACAGGGGCCCACCACCAUGCCCAGCUAAUUUUUGUAUUUUUAGUAGAGACGGGGUUUUGUCAUGUUGGCCAAGCUGGUCUCGAACUGCUGACCUCAAGUGAUCCACCCGCCUCAGCCUCCCAGAACGCUGGGAUUACAGGUGUUGUGGCGGGCACCUGCAGUACCAGCUACUCGGGAGGCUGAGGCAGCAGAAUGGCGUGAACCCGGGAAGCGGAGUUUCCAGUGAGCCGAGAUUGCGCCACUGCACUCCAGCCUGUGUGACAGGCUUAUACCAUAUUCAAAAAUUAACUCAAAAUGGAUCCAAGAGCUAAAUGUAAAACUGAAAACUAUAAAACUUAGAAUAAAGCAUAGGGAGAAAGUUCUGUGACACUGCAUUUUGCAAUGAUUUCUUGGAUAUAACACCAAAAGCAUAGGCAACAAAAGAAAAAAAAUAGGUGAAUUGGACUUCGUCAAAUGUUAAAACUUUUAUUCCUCACAUGACACUAUAUACAGUGAACAGACAACAGAGAGGAGUCAGGGUGGCCAAGUAGACACAGAGUCAGGAAGAGCUUCCACCACCAAGAGACCAGGCCAUCAAGAAGACCAGCACACUCUGAGCAGAUCUUUGGAAGGAAGGCACUGAGAGUGAACAGAAGGAGGAUGCGGAUCCUGGGCUGAAGGAGGAGAAAGCUGGGAACCUUACAGGGAGCUCCCCUAGCACCAUGACUCAUUCUGACCCCAAAUGCUCCUGGGGAAAGGAUGAGUUAAACAGGCAUGGAGUAGCCUGUUCUUGUCAUGGACCUCUAGAAUCCUAGCUGAAGGAGGCUCCAUGACCCCUACAGACAUUUGAGGUUGCAAAGACAGCUGCUUGGGAAGUUGGCAGAAACAGGACUCCAGUCUGCACGGAGCCCAGAAGGCCUGGUGUGGGAAUGGCUGCAGUGGAGCAUGGCCAGGUAUGUCCAUCUCCCAAAGCUCACCACACACCUCUAGGUAGCUUUGGUCUUUGCUGACUAUUGGACCUAGACAGAACAGAACUAUCUUGCCCAUGGCACAGGGCUUGUCAGAUUUGAGCGCCCCCCCCAACCCCCAUCCCUGGUUGCCUGUUCCACAGUCCCUGCCUGGCCACAUCCAAUUGCAAUGGACGCUGAUGCCCAACCGCAGCACUUCCCGACAGCCACCACUAUAGCUCCUUUGCUGGCAAGCCCCAGGUAACCACCAGAGAGCACCUGCACAUGGGCCUCCACCAGCAUCCACCCACGCACAGCUUCCCCGCACUGUUUUGCCAGGACACCGUCACCCACAGCCUCCCCCGACGGCUUUUCCAAUGUAUAUGCAGGCCUUACCACCCUACUGUCACCACCCCAACCAAGCACUUUUGCCGGCCCCACCAUCAGAGUGUUGUUGCCCAGCAGACCGGGAACACCUUGGCCCCACCAGUGCAAUGGGUGCUUAACCUCGAGGAGACAGAGAACAAAGUCAUGUGCCUAGUCCUAACACCCCAGGGUUAUAGCAUGCAUGCCAGGAGUGCUGAGCUGAGCCUUGGUACCCAGAAAUCAUCAAGAAACUAUGCCAGUCGACUAAACUCAACUUAUAUCAAGGUCAAACCCUUGGGGCAUCCAAGAAUAUAAAAGCAAAAAGCCUCAUUCAAAGG